RNAcentral lists this ribosomal RNA (500 nucleotides) under uncultured Glomeromycotina. Its description in RNAcentral is "partial small subunit ribosomal RNA". It matches the Rfam family "Eukaryotic small subunit ribosomal RNA", at positions 591 to 1092 of the family's 1831-position model. Lineage: Eukaryota; Fungi; Glomeromycota. The record is from RNAcentral.
CCAAUAGCGUAUAUUAAAGUUGUUGCAGUUAAAAAGCUCGUAGUUGAAUUUCGGGAUCAAUUUAUCGGUCGUGCCAAUGGUAUGAACUGGUACAAUUGGUUUCUCCCUUCUGACGAAGCAUGAUGUCAUUAAUUUGGUGUCGUGGGGAAUCAGGACUGUUACUUUGAAAAAAUUAGAGUGUUUAAAGCAAGCAUUAGCUUGAAUACAUUAGCAUGGAAUAAUGAAAUAGGACGUUUGAUCCUAUUUCGUUGGUUUCUAGGAUCGACGUAAUGAUUAAUAGGGAUAGUUGGGGGCAUUAGUAUUCAAUUGUCAGAGGUGAAAUUCUUGGAUUUAUUGAAGACUAACUACUGCGAAAGCAUUUGCCAAGGAUGUUUUCAUUAAUCAAGAACGAAAGUUAGGGGAUCGAAGACGAUCAGAUACCGUCGUAGUCUUAACCAUAAACUAUGCCGACUAGGGAUCGGAUGAUGUUAAUUUUUUAAUGACUCAUUCGGCGCCUUACG